This 301-nucleotide ribosomal RNA is filed under the name uncultured bacterium. Its description in RNAcentral is "partial 16S ribosomal RNA". It matches the Rfam family "Bacterial small subunit ribosomal RNA", at positions 509 to 807 of the family's 1533-position model. The record is from RNAcentral.
CAGCCGCCGCGGUAAUACGGAGGGGGCUAGCGUUGUUCGGAAUUACUGGGCGUAAAGCGCACGUAGGCGGCUUGGUAAGAUAGAGGUGAAAGCCCGGAGCUCAACUCCGGAAUUGCCUUUAAGACUGCCGAGCUAGUAGGUGAGAGAGGUAAGUGGAAUUCCGAGUGUAGAGGUGAAAUUCGUAGAUAUUCGGAAGAACACCAGUGGCGAAGGCGGCUUACUGGCUCAUUCUAGACGCUGAGGUGCGAAAGCGUGGGGAGCAAACAGGAUUAGAUACCCCUGUAGUCCCUGUCUCUUAUAC